This 5652-nucleotide unclassified non-coding RNA is filed under the name Pomacea canaliculata. RNAcentral describes it as "tuberin-like, transcript variant X3". The record is from RNAcentral. Lineage: Eukaryota; Metazoa; Mollusca; Gastropoda; Architaenioglossa; Ampullariidae.
UUCUUUCAUGCACCACCUUUGGUCUCAGAAGCAAAGACUAGAAGUAACAUGUACACGAUUAUCCGUGAUUUAAUUGUUGUCAUGCAGCUCAUUACGAUCUGAAUGUUGUAGCUGUUUCAAUGAAAAAUAUAAUUUUUAUCUGUUUACAAUUUGCUAUGAUUAAGCGCUCAAAUGACUGCUAGAUCACAGCGUGCCGGAGUUGACACAGACUAUCAAGAUCAACUCGCAGACGUGUAAUACGAGUACGAGCAGAACUGUCGCCGUGAGUUCAGUCCCCUGUGAUGGAAGGCACAGCAGAAGCGAAUGAUUCGUUGCUUCAGUUUUCGUCUGCAAGCUUGUGAAUGAACCAUUUAAUGUCGCAGAAACUCGCGCAUUUAUUUCCAGAAUGUCAGGAAGGCCUCCACCAAAGCCCGAAGAAAAUUUAAAAGAAAAGUUCAUGGGAUUUUUCAGACGAAAUAAGAAUGCGUUACAAAAUAUUCCAAAAUCUUCGUCAAAAGACCUCAUGAUAACCCCACAGAUUUUGAAGGAUAUUGGUCAGGAAUGUCCAGCAAACAAUCGCAAGCGUAAUAUCAAAGCAUUAAGUGAUCAGGUCAAGUCCAGACAACUAGAACAGUGGGGCACUGAAGCUCUUUGGAUGGCUACCAAAGACCUUGUGGAGCCAGAGAUGGAUAUGGAGAGCAGGCAGCUGGUUUUAAAUUUUCUCCUCUCGUUAAUUGAAGGACAGCUGAAGACUUUAGGAAUGCUUAGGGGUGUCUUCUUCAAUGUAAUUGAGAAUCUCGAGAAACCUGAAGACUUGAGGAUAAGACUUGAGCUUUUUAAGGGACUUAGUGAAAAUGGAAAAAACAUCUAUGAUUUUGAGGACAGGGCAGGUCCUUUCCUGUUGAAACUCAUGCCUGAUGCUUUGACAGCAGGUUUCAUCACAGAUUUUCUGUUGAUUGUCAUCAACAUCAUCAAGUUUAAUGCAGCUUAUAUUGAUGAGGAUAUUUUGUCUGGGCUAGUUCAACAGACAUGCAUGAUUCAAAACAGAACUCGAUCAGAUGAAGACAUGAAGCUGUGCCAGCAAGUGCUAGAUGCAGUCAUCUGCUACAGUUACCUGCCUCCUGAUUCGCUGCAUUACUUUGUGGCUGCUCUCUGCCACAUGGUCAGUAAGCCUCGUUUCUGUGAAGAGAGCUGGGAACUUAUGAAGAAACUCCUUGGGACACAUCUUGGGUGCAAGACUAUCCACACAAUGUGCUGCAUGAUGCAAGACAAACAACAGCCAGUGGACUUCAUCCUGCUGCGUGGUGCAGUCUUCUUUACUGGAAUGGCUCUUUGGGGCUCACGAAGAGUGGCUAGUCUGAAAGACCUUUCAUCAGCUGUUCUACCUUCCUUUCUUGAGGUUCUUACAUACAGUAAUUCCAGUGUGUCAUAUGAGGUAUCAUUGAGCAUAAGUCGUUUGAUCAACAAGUAUGGAAAAGACCUGACACACAUCACAUGGGAAACUGUCUUUAAUAUCACACAAAGACUGAUUCAUCAGACAGAGACAAUUCCCUCUAUGGAUCCACGAAUAAGCUCAGAAGUUCAUAAUAUGCUUACUGAAAUAGAACAUCUCCACCAGAUGGGCCAUUUCCUGGGACCUGCUGAACGAAUUUUUGUCAUAGUGGAGAGCUGUGGUAGCAAACGGCCGACAGAAUCUGUGUGUAAACUCAUUGAUCACCACAUGAAAGAUAUUCAUCCAGGCCAAGACAAGUGGAUCCAGAAUCUUCACCAGCUGCUAGAUAAAUUUUUCAGACAUGAAACAAGAACUGAAGUGCGAAAGAAGGCCUUGGACAUGCUGUCAUUUGUUUUGAGCCUUAAUAAACAUGUGUAUGAGGCAGACCUCAUUGACAAACUCGUCAUCCCAUUUUUCUCACACAUUGAUAUGGACCCUGAUGUAAAGGUACGUGUCAUAGCAGCAGAAAUUCUUCUAAUCCUUGCUCAGGGUUGUUCCCGGGAUGAGUUUUUUGAUCUCAUCAACAUCAUAGAAAAGAUGAUACGGAAACCAUUGUUAAUGAGCAUAGAUCACUCAGCAGAGGGGGAUGAGAUCAGAGUGUUGACCCCGGAUCAGAAUCAUGGGGAUGUCAGACUUGCUGUGCUCCAGUUAAUAGAGGUUUUUGAGCAUAAGCUGUAUACAGCACCCCCAACCCAUUGCAAACGUCUGUAUGGAAUUCUUAUUAGCCACAUGCAGGCACAGUAUGAUCACAGCUACAACACUCCACUAGCUGCAGCUAUUCGGAAAGCAGUACUGGAACUACUGCUUCGGUUGAGGGCUGACAGUAAGCACAGAGUGGGAUUAAUUAACCGCCAUGGUGGUAAUGGCUGCACAUACAGUCCGUAUGCUGUUUGUGUUGAAGUUGCAAUCCAGUUUCCCACAAGUCCCAUUCUUGCCGGCCAGUCCCUGUCUCACAUGUUUACCAUGAUUGACUACACUCAGACAAUGGAACUCUAUAUUCGCUGCCUACAGAAGGAAACAGACUGGCAGGUGUUGAGUGUUUUGUUGGCAAGACUACCAUCUGUUUUAGAGAACAAAACCCUAGUGUUGUCUACUCGGGGCACACUAGUCUAUGACCUGUGCGAACGGCUCUGUCACAUGGUAAUGUUUCAGAUCAGCAGUCAGACUAGAGGUUUUCCAAGGCAGCUUCACAAUGUGCCUGAGGGCUUUAAGCGGUCUGACUUGGACAACUGUCUACUUCCUGUCAUUGCUGCCAUGGUAACCUAUCACCAGUUUCUGGAUAAAAACAAACAGUAUGAAGUGGUCAAGUGUCUGGAGUUUGGUUUAGUGUCUGGUGUGGCAAAAGUCUGUGUGACAACAUUGCGCAUCUGCUCUCUUGAGAUGCAAGACCUCAUGAUGCGGCUUCUGCCUUCAAUCCUUUUGUCACUGACCAAGAUUGCUGCCACCAUGGCGAUGGCCAUCCCAGUGCUGGCCUUUCUAUCUGGUUUGGUGCGGUUACCACAACUGUAUGCAAACUUUGUCGAAAAUGAAUAUAUGAGUGUAUUUGCCAUAGCACUCCCAUACACCAAUCCAUUCAAGUUCAGCCAUUACACAGUUUCUCUGGCACACCAUGUGAUUGCCAUCUGGUUCAUUCGUUGCCGCAUGCCCUUCCGAAAAGGUUUUGUCAAAUUUAUCCAGCGGGGUUUGAGCCACAACAUGACACAGUUGUUUGAAGAGAACAGCUACCUGAGGCUUAGUCAGCAAAACCAAGACUCUAGCCAUCGCAACCGUUCAGGAUCAGAAGGAACUUCAUUCAGGAGGCGUUUUCAGUCCAGUUCUGCAGCAAUUCAGAAGGAUGUGUUGCCACCAGUGGAUGAGAAAGUGUCUCAAUUCCACAAGGAGCUGAGAGAGACAUGUCUGGAUGUGAUGUCUCGAUACUCAUUUGGAAACAUGUCUAAUAAUUACCACAGGUCAGCUAUGGCACAGUUUCUGCUUGCGGAUGGGCCAUCAGAAACUUGGAUUGUUGGCAACAAACUUGUCACCAUUACCACCAGUGGUAAUCGUAGCAAGAGCAGUAACUCUGGUCUCUGUAGCAGGUGCCUCACUUCCCUGCAGCAGCCACAGGAUGAAAAGCAAAAAAUAAGGCAAGAGAAGAGGAGGAGGCAUAAAUCAGCCAUACUCUAUCGCAGCACCAGUGAGAUACAUGGAGAGUCUUCAAGUGUUGGUGUUUUUGGUUCUGGAGGAUCCAAAAAGGGUGAUGAUGUUCUGGCCCGCUGCACACGGGAUGAUCUUAGUCUGCUGAGCGACCAAACUCAUGAUGAUGUUGCGGUGCAGACUGGCAGCUCACUCACCUCGGGGGCUGAUUCAGACACCCUGGAGUCCAUGCUUCUUGGCAUGAAAAGCCUGGCAGAAAAGAAAAGUGUGAUCACAGCAGAUCCUUGCCCUUGCUGGUGUGAAGGCUGGGCAGAAAUCCUCAUUCGUGGUCCAAGCGGCAAUGUUGCAUGGGUCAUGCGCACCGAGAACGAGUAUUCCCAGUAUGCAGGCCAUGGUGACCCUUCCAUGCAUGAUAUUAUGAAUCUGUUUACAUCUGUCAAUUCCAAAUCUCCAGAUUCUGACAGCACAAGCAAACUGGACAGCGGAAGCCUUGGGGAGGAAGAAUAUGAAUCGGUGCAUUCCUAUAUUUUUGGCUUGGAAAAGCGGUCUUCUUCCCCAGAAGCAGACAAAGUGGACAAUGACCUCAGAGAAGAAAAUUCUUCAGUAGGGGCCGUUUCCACUUCAUCUGUCUCCAAGGAGAUUGAGAUUCCAGGCCGUGAUACCAUGGUCAGAAGCAGUUCUUCUCCUUCUGUUCUAAGCAGUUCCUAUGAUGAUACAUCUCCACUGGGGGUGACAGCAGCCCUUGUGUCACCUCAUUCAAACAAGCCUGACAUGGAGGCUGUCACAGUUAAAGUUGAUGUCUCAGAAUCUCGAGUCAUGUCUGCUGCAGGAAACUUUGAAGGACUAGAGAAAUCGACCCCAACCUCUGUGGUUUCAGGAGAGGGCAAGGAGUGCUACUUUGUCCCAGAUGCAAGUUUAGAGAGCAAAGAGGAAAAGAAUAUACAUGACAAAAACAGAAGUGCUGCUGACCGAACAGGUGGUGAGGAAAAUUUGGAUGCUUAUUGCAGUGAUGAGGCACAGGCUUAUGCCGGCAGUGUUGUUGGUGAGAGGGGACAUAGGAUGAGCAGUAGUAGGUUACAGGUACAGCUAGAGGAAUUUGACAGGAAGCAGGAAGAGAAGUGUGGAGAAAAAUCUGCAAGUGCUCAUACUCCAUCAGAACCUACCACUCCAACAAACCCACCCGAGUCCUCUCCCCUUCAGGAAGUAAAGAGCUCAGGCAUUGUCAUUGUAGCACCACAUACACCAUCCAGAAGCACUGGUCACAGGCAGGUUGUAAACACCAUUCGAAAGUCUUUACCAAUGACUUCACCUGACAGCUCAAGUUCCUCAUCCACACAGGAUGAGUUAAUGGAGCUGAAAAAUAUCAAGAAACGAGGGCACACUAUUGCUGUCAUGACUCGUGCGGAAGCAAAUCAGUUUAAAGAGGCAGACUCUGGGGCAAAAGCUGGUGGUGGUGUAGGCAAGAGCAUGGUGACACCGGCACAGAUCUUCUUGCAGCUCUACUACACUUAUCCAGUGACUACUUCACAGGACUUACCUCUGCAUCUACCUAAAACUGAGACAUUUGAACGUGCACUGAUGAUGUUGGAUCACAUUUAUCCACACGAGACUCAUAAAAUUGGGGUUAUCUAUGUAGCUGAGGGUCAGGCAGACGAUGAAAAAGCGAUUCUUUCCAAUGUACAUGGGUCCUCAAGGUAUACAGAGUUCAUGCUGGGUCUGGGGGAGCUGGUCCAGCUGGAGGAUGUGGACCAGUCAAGAGUUUAUCUCGGUGGCCUGAGUUACCCCAUGGAUGGCAAGUUUGCAUGCACCUGGAAGGAUGAGUCCAUGCAAGUCAUUUUCCAUAUUGCUACUCUGAUGCCUAACAGAAAAGAGGAUCCCAACUGCAAUUCAAAAAAACUACACAUUGGGCCAGUUUAAUUAUGUGAACAUUGUCAUUCGUCCCCUGGACCAUGGCAGUAAUGCAGUCACCCUCAUUGCGAAGCAAGAAUCCUUUGUGGACACAAUAUCAGCAGAUAUUGCUGACAUCCUUGGACACACUCAUCCAAAAA